Molecule: ribosomal RNA, 253 nt
Filed under: uncultured bacterium
Lineage: Bacteria
Description: partial 16S ribosomal RNA
Rfam family: Bacterial small subunit ribosomal RNA
Source: RNAcentral
UACAGAGGUCCCAAGCGUUGUUCGGAUUCAUUGGGCGUAAAGGGUGCGUAGGCGGCGCGGUAAGUCGGGUGUGAAAUCUCGGAGCUUAACUCCGAAACUGCAUUCGAUACUGCCGUGCUUGAGGACUGGAGAGGAGACUGGAAUUUACGGUGUAGCGGUGAAAUGCGUAGAUAUCGUAAGGAAGACCAAUGGCGAAGGCGGGUCUCUGGAGAGUGCCUGACGCUGAGGCACGAAGGCCAGGGGAGCAAACGGG